Molecule: non-coding RNA, 935 nt
Filed under: Odorrana margaretae (green odorous frog)
Lineage: Eukaryota; Metazoa; Chordata; Amphibia; Anura; Ranidae
Description: 12S ribosomal RNA
Rfam family: Bacterial small subunit ribosomal RNA
Source: RNAcentral
UAAAGGUUUGGUCCUAGCCUUACCAUCAACUGUUUCUCAACUUACACAUGCAAGUCUCAGCACACCAGUGAGAACGCCCUUUCAACCUUCACCAGGCCAAGGAGCCGGCAUCAGACACAACCCCUGUCCACAACGCCUAGUCUCACCACACCCCCAAGGGUCAUCAGCAGUGACAAAUUUUGAGCAUAAGCGAUAGCUUGACUCAGUUAGAGAAAAGAGAGCCGGCCAACCCGGUGCCAGCCGCCGCGGCUACCCCGUGGGGCUCAAGUUGAAGGUCAUCGGCGUUAAGCGUGAUUAAAGUUCUCUUAGAUUAGGGCCAAAUUAAUACUUAGUUGUUUAAAGCUUGUCAUUAAGAGGAACACAAACGAAAGUUGCCCUAACCCACACACUUGAAUACACGACAGCUGGGGAACAAACUGGGAUCAGAUACCCCACUAUGCCCAGCCGUAAACAAUUAAUCCACAACCAUAAGCGCCAGGGAAUUACGAGCCAAGCUUAAAACCCAAAGGAUUUGACGGUGUCCCACCCCCCUAGAGGAGCCUGUUCUAUAAUCGAUGAUCCCCGCUACACCCGACCAUUUCUUGCUUAUCAGUCUGUAUACCUCCGUCGAAAGCCUACCAUGUGAACGCCCCCACAGUAGGUUCAAUGAUCCCCGUCAAUACGUCAGGUCAAGGUGCAGCUUAAGAAAUGGGAAGUGAUGGGCUACAAUUUCUAACCUAGAACAAACGAAAGGCUAUGUGAAAUCAUAGUCACGAAGGCGGAUUUAGUAGUAAAAAGAAAAUAGAGUGUUCUUUUUAACCUGGCUCUGGGACGCGUACACACCGCCCGUCACCCUCUUCGAUAGUGCUAACCCACAGUUUAUAACCUAUUUAUACGUCUGAGAAGAGGCAAGUCGUAACAUGGUAAGUGUACUGGAAAGUGCACUUGGUAUAUUA